GGGGGCAUAGCUCAGUUGGGAGAGCAGCAGACUGAAGUCCUUAACGAGUUUAUUCUGAAGGUCCCGCGUUCAAUCCGCGGUGCCCCCA
Molecule: transfer RNA, 88 nt
Filed under: Asterophora parasitica
Lineage: Eukaryota; Fungi; Basidiomycota; Agaricomycetes; Agaricales; Lyophyllaceae
Rfam family: tRNA
About the family: Transfer RNA (tRNA) molecules are approximately 80 nucleotides in length. Their secondary structure includes four short double-helical elements and three loops (D, anti-codon, and T loops). Further hydrogen bonds mediate the characteristic L-shaped molecular structure. tRNAs have two regions of fundamental functional importance: the anti-codon, which is responsible for specific mRNA codon recognition, and the 3' end, to which the tRNAs corresponding amino acid is attached (by aminoacyl-tRNA synthetases). tRNAs cope with the degeneracy of the genetic code in two manners: having more than one tRNA (with a specific anti-codon) for a particular amino acid; and 'wobble' base-pairing, i.e. permitting non-standard base-pairing at the 3rd anti-codon position.
Source: Rfam by way of RNAcentral